GAUGAACGCUGGCGGCGUGCCUAAUACAUGCCAGUCGAGCGAACAGAUGAGGAGCUUGCUCCUCUGACGUUAGCGGCGGACGGGUGAGUAACACGUGGAUAACCUACCUAUAAGACUGGGAUAACUUCGGGAAACCGGAGCUAAUACCGGAUAAUAUAUUGAACCGCAUGGUUCAAUAGUGAAAGACGGUUUUGCUGUCACUUAUAGAUGGAUCCGCGCCGCAUUAGCUAGUUGGUAAGGUAACGGCUUACCAAGGCGACGAUGCGUAGCCGACCUGAGAGGGUGAUCGGCCACACUGGAACUGAGACACGGUCCAGACUCCUACGGGAGGCAGCAGUAGGGAAUCUUCCGCAAUGGGCGAAAGCCUGACGGAGCAACGCCGCGUGAGUGGUGAAGGUCUUCGGAUCGUAAAACUCUGUUAUUAGGGAAGAACAAAUGUGUAAGUAACUAUGCACGUCUUGACGGUACCUAAGCAGAAAGCCACGGCUAACUACGU
RNAcentral lists this ribosomal RNA (496 nucleotides) under uncultured bacterium. RNAcentral's name for it is "partial 16S ribosomal RNA". It matches the Rfam family "Bacterial small subunit ribosomal RNA", at positions 28 to 506 of the family's 1533-position model. The record is from RNAcentral.